AAUCAACGCUGGCGGCGUGCCUAACACAUGCAAGUCGAACGCUAAAGCCCCGCAAGGGGUCAGUAGAGUGGCAAACGGGUGAGUAACACGUGGGUGACCUGCCUUCGAGUGGGGGAUAACGUCCCGAAAGGGACGCUAAUACCGCAUGACAUCCUGCUUUUGAAAAAGCGGAGAUCAAAGCUGGGGAUCGCAAGACCUAGCGCUUGAAGAGGGGCCCGCGCCUGAUUAGCUAGUUGUUGAGGUAACGGCUCACCAAGGCGACGAUCAGUAUCCGGCCUGAGAGGGCGGACGGACACACUGGGACUGAGACACGGCCCAGACUCCUACGGGAGGCAGCAGUGGGGAGUUGUUCGCAAUGGGCGCAAGCCUGACGACGCAACGCCGCGUGGAGGACGAAGAUCUUCGGGUCGUAAACUCCUGUCGAGCGGGACGAACGCUUCGCGGAUGAAUAAGCCGCGGAAUUGACGGUACCGCUAAAGGAAGCCCCGGCUAACUCCGUG
This 500-nucleotide ribosomal RNA is filed under the name uncultured bacterium. RNAcentral's name for it is "partial 16S ribosomal RNA". It matches the Rfam family "Bacterial small subunit ribosomal RNA", at positions 32 to 507 of the family's 1533-position model. The record is from RNAcentral.